AUGCUCUGGUUGGAAGCCUCCUGCACUGCCUUCUGUAACAGCACCAGCUGGACGUUGUCAUGAAAUGUCACGAGUUCUGGGUGUUUCCUGGUCUGCAGUCCGCAGCUCCCUGCCAUCGGCCACCCGAUCUCACGAUGGCACAGCAGACAAACUCUGAGGAGCCUCCCAGGAGCCUAGGGCUUUUCCUCCGCCCUCUUCUGUAAGCAGACUGGACAGCAGGCCCCUGGGAUGUUCACGGGGACAGCACAGGUGGCAGGGGGGCAAGCUUCCACGAAGCAGGUGACCUGCCCGUCCUGGAGAAGAGAGACGGAGCACAGCCUGUCAGCUCUGGGAUGGCCUUCAGACUGGCGGCAGCUGACCACACGCCCCAAUGGAAGACAUUCCCACCACCGUGCUGUCAAAUAAAAACCGUAGUCACAAAGGCGACGUUCUCAGAGGACUGUGGGAGCAAGAUUCAACCAGAUGACGAGAACGUCCUGCACCUACACUUCCACCAGAACGAACGAUGAUCACUCAGAAUCCCCAGAGUCAAGUCUGCCUUAUUUUCCGAGUAACAACACCACUGGCUUUUCUCUGGAAGCACGGGGCCCCAUAACAAGGUGACCUUUCCAACCGCUGUGCCAUGCACAGGGGUAGCAGAAGCCUCCUGGAAGGGUCUCCUUCCUCAAACCCUCUCUUGCAUCUUGCAGGGCCGGGGGGCAGACAGGGUGACAGUGGCCGGAAAUGCCUGGGCCAUGAGGUGACCUUGGGAAGAGGCCACCCACAGUACAGCACCAAGCUGCAGCAGGGACCCUGCACUGCGGAGGGUCCAGCAAUCUCCACGACUGAGGGAAAAGUAAACUCGCACCUCAUUAAAACCAUCCUGGAUUUGGA
Long non-coding RNA from Homo sapiens (human), 873 nucleotides. RefSeq lists it as uncharacterized. The transcript is spliced from 2 exons. Lineage: Eukaryota; Metazoa; Chordata; Mammalia; Primates; Hominidae. The record is from RefSeq and is a predicted model, not a curated record.